This 245-nucleotide ribosomal RNA is filed under the name uncultured bacterium. RNAcentral's name for it is "partial 16S ribosomal RNA". It matches the Rfam family "Bacterial small subunit ribosomal RNA", at positions 524 to 764 of the family's 1533-position model. The record is from RNAcentral.
UACGGGGGGGGCAAGCGUUGUUCGGAAUUACUGGGCGUAAAGGCUCGUAGGCGGCCAACUAAGUCAGACGUGAAAUCCCUCAGCUUAACUGGGGAACUGCGUCCGGAUACCUGGAUGGCUUGGAUUUGGGAGAGGGAUGCGGAAUUCCAGGUGUAGCGGUGAAAUGCGUAGAUAUCUGGAAGGAACACCGGUGGCGAAGGCGGCAUCCUGGACCGACAUCUGACGCUGACGGCGCGAAAGCUAGG